RNAcentral lists this ribosomal RNA (253 nucleotides) under uncultured bacterium. RNAcentral describes it as "partial 16S ribosomal RNA". It matches the Rfam family "Bacterial small subunit ribosomal RNA", at positions 524 to 776 of the family's 1533-position model. The record is from RNAcentral.
UACAGAGGCCUCGAGCGUUAGGCGGAAUCACUGGGCUUAAAGCGUGUGUAGGCGGACUUCUAAGUACCUUGUGAAAUCCCACGGCUCACCCGUGGAACUGCUUGGUAUACUGGUUGUCUUGAGCCUUCUAGGGGCGAGUGGAACAAAUGGUGGAGCGGUGAAAUGCGUAGAUAUCAUUUGGAACGCCAAAGGUGAAAACAACUCGCUGGGGAAGUGCUGACGCUGAGACACGAAAGCCAGGGGAGCGAACGGG